AUGUAGGACAGCGAUGUGGCUGCAACAUCUGUCACCCCUUGAUCACCAGGGUUGAUUUGGCUGAUAUGGCUGGCCAGGCAGGUGCCCCCUUCCUCCCUCACUACU
This 105-nucleotide small nuclear RNA is filed under the name Erinaceus europaeus (western European hedgehog). RNAcentral's name for it is "7SK RNA". It matches the Rfam family "7SK RNA", at positions 1 to 106 of the family's 331-position model. Rfam says of the family: 7SK was discovered as an abundant small nuclear RNA in the mid-70s but a possible function has only recently been suggested. Two independent studies have found that 7SK RNA binds the CDK9/cyclin T complex (known as elongation factor P-TEFb). P-TEFb activates transcription by phosphorylating the C-terminal domain of RNA polymerase II. Lineage: Eukaryota; Metazoa; Chordata; Mammalia; Eulipotyphla; Erinaceidae. The record is from Rfam by way of RNAcentral.